Molecule: long non-coding RNA, 34999 nt
Organism: Motacilla alba alba
Lineage: Eukaryota; Metazoa; Chordata; Aves; Passeriformes; Motacillidae
Exons: 5
Source: RefSeq, a predicted model, not a curated record
AGGGCGCUUGGCUGGGGCUGCUCGCUCGGGUUCUGCCUGUUGUUGCGCGAAAUGGCGGCUGGCGUCUUGGUGAAAGUACACUGAAGGAAGACUUGCUUAAAUCUGAAGAGGGAGACAGGCUCAGUCACUCAAACUACAGUGGUUCCAGAAUCUGUAAUGUAGACAGGAUAAGGAUUUUUUUCUGUGCAGUUAAUGCUGUGCCUUUUUUACUGGUUUCUCAGGGGAAAAGACUCAACAUGUUGAAUCACAGAGAUGUUACUUCCUGCUGGGUUUUGGGAUUUCCUUGCAGCUCUCCCCUCCAUGGCUGCAGGAGAUGUUUUUGCAUAGAACAUGUUCUAAGGCAGGAACUUGCUGGACAUGAAGACAGAAGCCAACCAGUUCUGUGCUGAAUGUAAUAGUUUCUGACUCAAAUUGUGUGGUAAUUGUCAGAAUAUCAUAGGGUGUUGUAAGAACUGCUGUGUUGAACAUGGCUGAGGAUUUAUUCUUUCAUAAUUUGCCUAAAUGAGUAUAAGAUGCUAUCUGAAUUAACAUAUGAAAGUGGGGGGAAAGAUUUCUUGAUGUUUUCUAGCCACUUGAAACCUGAUUGUGUGCAAAAAUAAAUUUCAGUAUGCUGAAGUAGUCAUGGGUUUUUUGCCCACUUGCUCAAUCUUAAGUCCCAUUCUUUCUGAUUUCCCACAGAAAGUAAGAAAAGCUACUUGCUGUAGCUUCAAAAAUAUUAACAAAAUACUGUGAGCACUGGCAAUAUGAUAGGGUUUCAAAUUACUAUCAAUUUCACUAGGAAUUAAAAACAUGUAAUCCUGGAAGUUAUGGUAGUAAAAUGAUAUCAAGUAUUUUGACAUACAUACCUGCUUCAUACAGCUUGCUUUCCUCAUAGAAGAGAAGUAUUCCUAGCAGCUUGUUACUGUACUGAGUUUCGGUGUCAAGUAUAAGAUUGGCACAUUUACUAUGAAGACAAACUUUAAGAGAAUUCAUAUGAACUCUACUUCAGCAAUUGUUUUUGAUAAACCAGGUCUUGCAGCUCCAAGAGGCAAACAGGAAAGGGAUGGAGGAGUUGUAGUUAAAUUUGCAGGCAGAUCAACUCCAGUUGGAGUUAAGCUCUCUGAAUAUGGAAUAGUGUCAAACAGUGCAACACUCCUGUAUCCCUUUUCUUCAAAAAUGGCUUCAGAUAUGCUUUUUACCCUGCAGUGCUAGAGGAGAGUUCUGGAUUUCUCUCUUGUGUUUUAACCUCUGCUGUACAUUGUCCAAUCCUUGUUCCGCAAACAGUUCCAUUUGUUGGACUGUCCUCUGAUGCUGUUUGGAGAAAAGAGAAAGAGUUGAUCUAUAGAUGAGUAUCUAAAAUAUGGGACUUCAGAGGACUGCCUGACGUAUUUAAACCUAAUGACUUAGGUUUAACAUCUAGAAAAGCCACUUCACAGGAUAACCCUUCCCAGCACAUUCCAUGAUAAUGUUUCCAGUGCCUUUGAGUUUUUGUCCUGGGCUCUAAUGAUCCUAGGAUGUGAACUGUCCCCUAAAACACUAUCAGAAGUGCAACUUCUGAUAUAAUUUUAAAUAAGUGAAUCUUCCAUCCCUUGAUGUAGUUCUUGCUGGAUUAAAAAAAGUCCAUGUGUUUUAAUUAGGUACAGUCUGUGUGCCUAAUUUGAUGUAAAAAAUGCUUGAAAAAAUAUUAAUGAAAAUUUUCCCUAAUGGUGGAUGAGAGACAUGUAAACUACUGUUAGACUCUGUGUGUGUGUGACUGACUGUUUGUUAAAGGAAAAGCAUGUUUUCAGAGUGUGGUUUUUGGACUUCCAGACAGAUUACACAAACUCAAGGAGGCCCAGCCCACAUCCUGUGUAGAAAACCAGCUCACAGAAAUGCUCAUUGUUCUUCAGGGUUAUAAGUCACUGUAUUUUGGGCCUCCCUUGUAUUUCAAAAUAUUGUAUGGAAAAUACUAAUGCAAAGGAGCCACAGCAGCUUAACAAGUGCUUGGUCCUGCCAGGUACUGAGCACUGUGCUCUUACCAGCAGGCUGGGGGACGGGGAUUAAAACAUUAGGCUCCCUGGCUAGAGAACAAAGAGUUUGUGUUGGUAAAAGUAGCUGAGAGUAUUUAUCAGGUGAGUAAAUCAAUUGAUAAUUCACAUACUUUCAACCUGAAAGUUUUUUGUGUGCAGCCAUGCCAGUAUUUACUAUCCUGGAGUGGGAGUUACAGGAUAUGAAGUUUUCUUCAAGCAGGGUGAGUUCUCCAUGACACUGAUUCACCUCUGCUCAGUCUUCACUGCAGAAAGAGAGAAUGUGGGGUGUCCAGAUCUGAUACCCCACCAGGAAGUGCUUAGUGUUUCUGAGUCUCUACCCAUGCUUAUUGCUGGGUUGUGUUUUUCAGCCUGCAAGCUAAUGGACCUAUUCAUGAAGGGAGCUACCAAGUCAAAACCACUAAAACCUAUUGACUCUUCCCUUUUUUGAAUGUUCAUUAUCAUCUUGGAGGUUAUUUUUUAAAAAGCUGAGGUGCUUUCAUUUUUAACUUUUAAACAGGAAUAGUGUUCCAAUGUUAAUUUUAAACCACUUGUAUUAUGUUUUCCUUACUUCAAAAAAGCAACAGCUUAUAUUUUUUGCUAGAGUUCAGUACCCAUUUAAGACUAAAAUAUUUGUUACGAUAAUACAGAUGUAUCUAAGCAGAAGGCUGCCACGAGGGUGCCCUGCUUUUCUACAGCCCGCUGAAAGGAAUCACUUCCCUUUAGUCUCUGCCAGUCUCCUGACUGUGCAGCACUCCCAAAACAUGUGGACCAUAAAAUGGGAUUAUAGGGGAGGCAUUCAAGUAAACAGAAGUUCCCUUGGGAUGAGAUUUGCUUUUUCAUGCAGAGCUGCUGUGUGCUAUAGCCUGGCACUGGAGUGAACUCUCUUGGUGACCCCAAGGGUGGGAGAGCACCCAGGCCAUCCUCGUGUUUCGGGAAUAGUUUCUCCUAGCCCAAUAAAGUCCUCCUUUGCAGUGUUUUUGGAAGGACACACCCAAGUGCAAGUUUCUUUCUGUGUCUCUUCAGUGUCUCUUUGUAACAAUAAAUGACCGGUCUCAUGAUGCAGCUACAGCUGCCAGAAAUCUGCAGUGAAUGUACAGCUGUAUCAGUCAUUAAUUGCACAGUAUUGCUGAAGCAGCCCAAUGCUUUUGUGAGAUGUGUUCAAGGGUAAGUAGCUGCUUAAAGAUAAAAACCUUUGUGCUUCCAUAGAAGCACACAGUUACAUUGGUGGAUAAUACUGUAUUUCUGUGAUUGCAUGGUCCUGUUCAGCCUGAAAGUAUGCAACCUGGGCAGGCUCAGUCUGCAAUUUGAGUACUUACGAAUUCUUUGUUGAGACUAAAUUGUGUUGGCCUCAGCAGGGAGCAUUUCCAGACCAUCCAUCCUGGCCUAAAUAAGUCAUUGUUGCUCCACAGGAUGAUGCUGUGUGGGAUAUCAGGGCACAAAGCCUUCAGACUUGUGUUCAUUUCACUGUAGCUAUGUUUCAUAUUUUGAAAGAACUCGCCACAAAUGGAUGUUGACCUUCUGUCUCUCCAGUGGCUGCUAGUCACCAGAAGAACAAUUCAGUCAGUAGUGUUCCCCUUAUCAUAGACUCAUAGAAUGGUCUGAUUGGAAGGGAUCUUAAAGAUAUCUAAUUCUACCCCCUGCCAUGGACAGGGACCCCUUCCCCUGCACCAAAUUACUCAGGGCCCCAUCCAGCCUGCCCUUGCACACUUCAGAGGUGGGACAUCCGCAGCUUCUCUGUACAGCCUGUUCUUGUGUUUCACCACUCUCACACUAAAGUAUUUCUUCCUGAUACCUAAUCUAAACUUGCCCUCUUUCAGAUUGAAGCCAUUCCCCCUUGUCCUAUCACUACAUGCUCUUGUAGGAAGUCCCUUUCUGGUUUUUCUGUAGGGUCCCUUCGUAUACUGGAAGACUCCUUGUUGCCAUUAGCAAGGCUUCAGAUGCUGGUGGCCUUGUCUUGGCUUCCUGGAGGUGCUGCUCUGUACCACAGCAUGGCUGCUUUUGUGCAGGGGGAAAGCUGCAAUUGUAAAUACUGUCCUUAAAAGAGCAGGAAUUCAUAAAUUCCCUUAGGUGCCUGUAUUCCAGAUGUGGCCUGUGCUUAUGUCCUUGAUGUGCUACUGGGUGUUAGUGAGGAAUAUGAUAAGAGAUCCCUCCAGACUGGAGGACUGCCCUCUACAUUUGGUCAGCCUUAUUUGUACUGACUUUAACUUUCUUUAGAGGUGACUCAGAACAGAAACUGUUAAUCUUCUUGUAAUUGUGAAGCUUUGAACCAAUAGCAGCAGUGAGAAUUUUCAGUUAUCUGAAGAAAUGCAUACAUCAGAAAUUUUUGGGUUUUUUCUGCACCUGGUACAAAGAAGUAGAACGGCCCUGGGAAGUGGCAAGACAACCCAGUUCCUGCUGCUGUCAAAAGCAGCACAUCCAUUCAUUUGUGUACCUCCUUUUGUAACCAAAGCACAGAAUUAUUUGCUAUGGGUUCUAAACCAGGAGUCGCUAUUCUUUCUCUUGUUUGGUUUCUUUUUAAAGCCUUUUGGCUUUAUUGGGGAGCAUGCUUACAAAAUUAAGGCAGGUAAAUUUGGGGCCUGUAUCUCACACCACAGGUGACUGCACUCAGGAGUAAUGUCAUUGUCACAGCUGUACACAGCUUUUUUUUCUAGAGGGUCAGAUUCUCUGCCGUCAUAUAUAUGUUGGAUAUAAAUGAAAGAAAGGCUGACUUAAUUUGAUGGCAGACUGUUAAUAAGAGUAGUGGUUAUUUGAAGACUGCUUAAUCCUAUUUAAGGUUGGGAUUUUUUUGGAAAGUCUGAUUUAUGGGUGUAUUUUGUACCAGCACCCAUUUAAGAGCUGGGUCUGAAUAAAUCUGUCAUUUGCUGCAUCUCCAUUGGUAUUUUCAUCACAUCUUAACUGUAUGAGAGUUAAACAGGAUCAUUAAAUAAAAUUUUCUGAAGGUCAAGGAGCUGAAUUAAUAUUUUUAAUACCUGCAGGUUUUAGGAAAACAUGCUGAAUUAUGAGGGGAAGUACCAACUUAUUUAAUAACUGUAUUUUUCUAAUAAAUAUAGAUGAUAUAACUGCAGGGAACUGAAAAUGUCAUGUCAGUAACAGUAGCACCUGCUUGUAUUUAAUUUAAUUUGUGUGUGGGAUUGUUUAUGUUGUAGAAAAUGGCAGUUUAGGAACAAGCUUUUGGGGGGAAUGAUACGUUGCCAAGGCUGCAAUAUUUUGUAUUACACUGUACAGACGCUGUAUCAUAACUCAGAGUAUUUGUUAGCUUCCUUCCCUUUGCAGUGCACCUGCUUACCACUGCUGUCAGGAAGGUGAAGUUGCAGUGAGCUGGGUCAGCAGGAGAAACCUCACUUUCCUUGCAGUGUUUGAUCAAUGCCUGUGUAGCUCUGUGAAUGACUUGUUACAGAGUCAAGUAGGUGCCAGUGCAAGGGAAGCAGGAGGGGCAAUUUCCUGAUUUGGCAGCAGUUGGCAGUCAGAUUGGCUUUAUGAUUUCAUGAAGUCCUGUCUGUAAGUUAUGCCCCCAUCUGUAACUAUCUGGAAAGCCGUGGUUGUUGAAGGCUUUGCUUCCCUGCUGCCAAGUGGCACCCAUCUCCUGAGCAGUGCCACUGUUGGUCAGCUGCUUGACAAAAAGGUAGGUAGGGGACACAGACUUGGCUGUCUGUGAGCUUCUAGGAUCUGGUUAGAGAUUUCUAUGACUGAUGGAGGGAGAACUGCUUAACAUGUCAAGUUCAAAUGGGCCUGUGUGUUCACAUUACAAGAUGAAAUAUGUGACUCAAAAGAAGCAUUAGCUCAGACCUGGGCAGCUGCAAUGUUCUGUAAAAUAAAAGAAUCCACAUAGUAGAAAGACAGAUACAGGAAUGCCUUGCCAAGACAGUUGGUAAUGCACUAUUACCAACUGUAACACAGGGGAAGGAAAAAAAAAAAAGGGGGAGAUUUAGCAAUCCCAGGCAGUUUAUUUGGAUCAUUAGACUGGUGUCAGAGUACUGUGAAAUUUUUGGACUGGGGUAAGACAGUAGAAGGUCACCAUCACCUUGGAAAAAGAGAAAAAAAGGCCCCAAGCAGUGUCUCUCCAAGAACCUGGCUUUUUACUAUCUGCUGUUACAAGUGACACUAGAAAUUACUAAAACUGGAAGAAAUUAGACAAACCAAACCCUUUCUUGUUUUCUGGUUAGCGCCAUUGUUAGCAUUCUUGGCAGAACUUCACAGACACUUUCUGUGGUUUUUCUGCUUGGCUGCACUUCCUGUCUCGUUUAUUGGCAUAAUGAUGUCAUUCUCACACACCACUGGGGAGGAGCACAGUGGUGGGCUCUGCCCCAACUCCUGCAAGAAAAGCUUUUCGUGCCCCUGCAAGAAGACCUUGCUCCUGUUCUGAUGGCUAAAAUCCAAAUGGAAGAUCCCUUUUGUGAGCCUCCCUUGGAUGGAAGUGGGUGGCAGAGCAGGAGGAAGAGGCAGGAGAAGUGCCAUGUCAUGUCAUCUUUAGUAGGAAGCUCCUUACAGGAACAUCUGCGUUCAGCUAAUAUGGGUGAGCACCUGGAGCCUGCGUAGCUCUGUGUGCGCCUUCAGAGCCUGUGUGGUGCUGUAGAAGUGAAGGCAGGGGUAGGGAAUAUCCUUUCCCUAAGCAAACAACGCAGUGAAAAGCAGGAAUGAGAGCUUCAAACACAUCCCUGCUCCUCUGGCUGGGCAGCCCUGCUCUUGGGAGGAAAGCACUGAGAAAGUCCUGUUUGCCCAGUGCUCUUUCAUAGCCCAGAAGAGCAGCAGGGUUUGUUUCUCUGGUUCUCCUGCCUGUCCCAAGAAGGCAGCACAGAUCAAGCAGUUUGUCCUUGAGGGAUGUUGCUGCGGGAGAGAGAGGAAUGUGGCUUCAAGAGGGGGAGCAGGUGGCUCUGCAACCCUGGGGAGCAGCCUGGGCCUGCUCCUUGGUGAGGUCUGUACCUGUGCACAGGCUGGGUUGUGCUGUGUAAGCUCCAUUAUGCAGGGAGCUUUAAAGUGGUAGAAAUCGGUGUGUUAAAAUGAACUUGGGAAAACUUAAAUGUGGCUCAAAGGGGCUCUUCCAGCAUGAGUCAUCUGCAGCUGUGGAGCAGCCCUGGGCAGAGCCUUCUUCCCCACUGCUGAAUGGAGCUGUCAGAGUGCUGGGAGCCAGGGCAGGGAGGAAAAAGACCCCAAUUCAUUUCCGAACAAGGUAUGCAUGGGAGAAUUCCCCACGGGGGCACUGGUGAGGGCUUGUGGCUCUGUUUUUCAGUCCCUCAGCUCCACAUAAGAACGUUUGCAGCUUGAAACACCCUAAGCCCAUCCCCAGGAAGCAGACAAUGGUGUUGAUAUGCCUGUUGCUGCAGAGGAAGUGGCUUCUGUUAUAACCAACAAGCAAUCUGCCAAAGUCCAUAUUUGGGUGGUUGCCAGAAUAAAUUUGACAUAAACUAUUUUGUCUCUUUGGCUUUUGUCUUGUCUGGAAAUGUUCCUUUUGCUUCCUAACAUUAAAAUCUCACCUGUGGCAUACACACACCCUCCCCCUCCCCCAACAAAAAAGUAAUACAGACUUCGAAAUUUUUCAUACAGAACCCAGUCUUUAUUUAACAGAUGAUGAAAAUAUUCUUAAAUGCUUUCAGGAGGGUAGCAAAACUGAAGAUAAACCAAAACUGAAGCUAUGGUGUUGCUCAGGGCUUUUGUGAUGCUGUUGGAAAUAUGACAUAUUGCAGAAAAGACAGUCUGUGGAAGUUGGACUCGAGAUGUUGGAGGCAUUAGGCGCCCUCUUGUGCUGUUUUUCUGGGAGCAGUGUAAGGUGAGCAGCUUCCCGGGAGCAGAGGCUGAGCCAAGCUUCAGCCUUGGUUUUAGUUUAGUUUGGGGGGUAACUGGUGUGUGCUUUGGCACAUAAUCAUGAUCCAGCAUGGUUCUGAUGGGUAGGAGUUGUUGGUGGGUCUGCAAACUUCACCCUAGCUAUACAGUGUGGCCAUUAAAAAUGAAGCUUUGAACAGAAAAAAAGAGACUGAGACUUAUAUCUUCCAAAAGACAAAAAUAAAUCUUUAGAUUCACACAAAAGUAGCAAUGUCUGCUAAGUACUAAAUUUCUCUGAUGGGCCAGAUUUUAAGUUGAAUUUCAAACUGACUGUUAAUAAUGUGAUGCAAGUUUAGAUUCUUGUUUGUUGGUAGAUUGUGCUGUAUGUUUAUAAUCAUUCACCUCUUUGGGCUGUAAUAGUAUCAGGAAAAUGUGCUGCAUCUCCUUGGAAGUCAGUUGUGGAUCUAGUCGCAUACUUUUUCAGAUUGCUCGCUGCAAUUGUCUGAAAAUACCUAAUUUCUCCAGAUACCAGACCAUAAGCAGAAGUGCAAACUUCAGUGUAAAUGAGGUACAUCAAUUUGCAAAGUUAACUAAAAAGCUAUGUCAGAUCUGAAAACAUGGGUCUUUGGUGACUUAAUGCCUGAAGAAACAAAUUUCACCAUUUUUUGAUCUGUAGUGCUCAAAGUCACUCAAAGGACACAAACAUCAUCAUUUUUCUGGCCUGAUGCAAAUUCUCAAACUUACUGGUACCUCCAGGAUGCAAACACAACUAGGCAUGACGUGCCUUGCCAGCACUUUUCUGGCUCUUUGGAGAUUAAAGAUGUUGCUUAUUUCAGUCUUAUUGACCCAGAGCACUUUUAGAGUGGGCUACCUGUCAUUCUGUGACAACACUUAUAGCAAAAUAGUAUUUCUAUCAGAUUUCUCUCUGCAUGAAAGCUCCUGAGGAUUAUGACCAUUUCACAGAGCAGCAGCUAGGAUAUAAAAGGAAUGUGAUUGUGCUGGGCCUGGCUGAGGCCCAUCUGCCUUUUACUGAUCCUUUCUGCAGCAGACACUGUAAGCUGGUGCCUUGAUAAAAGCCUAGCAGAGCAAGUAUAAAUGCUUCUUCCUGGACUGCUGUCCCAGCUUCCAACAGUUUUAAUGUCCUGAGCUGAAUGUGGAGUUUGUUCAUUUAGCAAACCUUGAUAGAUUUAAUUCCCAAGAUUUUUCCAGUCCUCCACUGAGCUAAUACUAAACUUUUGCAUUCACAGCAACCUUGUUGCACUGAUGAACUUGGUCCAUUGAGAGCACUGACCCUCUUGUCUCCUGUCUCCUGUUUUUAACAAUUACAUGCCUCAGAAGGACCAUCUCAUGACCAUACCUGAUGCUGUGUGAAAAAUAAUCCAGACUGACAUUUCAGAAUCAGUGGAGUACUGCAGGAGUGGGGGUGUGGAAGUACCCUUCCUUUGCCCACUGAAGUCUUUGUGCUUACAUUUUGUCUCUGUGAAGAGGAUGGGGAAAGUCUUAAGACAGAGAUUAAGAGAGAAAAAGUUUCUUAAAAUAGUUUUUGUGGGUAUUUUGUGAAGUACUAUGUGAAGCUCUUCAAGAGGCACAGGACUUCACUUGUGUGGUUUGCAUAGCAAAAUAGCUAAUGUAAAUGAAUUCAGAGAGAAAUCUCCCAAGCAAAAUCAGCCAUUCCUGAGAACAAAAUGUUGUCAUUAAUAAUUAGACCAAAAUGUGUGGUCAUUGUUGUCUUCUGUUAACCCUAAAGACCUUAAAAUAUCAACAAAAGGCUCCUUGUGGCUACACAGCUUUACAUCAGUGUUUAAAAAUUUUACAGUGCCAGGUCUGAUGUAGCUGCUGGGGAAAGAUCAUUCACAGAUUUAGUCCUAAAUUGCCCAAUGAAAUGAAGCAAAAUAUGAGAAAGGAGAAAAAAAUGCUCAAACAAAUCCAGCAUCUUGGGAGUAAGUCAUCUUCAUAGUUUUUCUCAACAUCUGAAUUACUGCUAAAUGAAUACAGGAGCAACAAUUUGCAGAAGACUGUCAGCUGUACUGUAAUGUUUUGAUAAAACAGAGAAAUGCUCAUAUAAGCCAUAGGCCUGAUAAGUCUGUGUGCACUGAGCAUGUACAAGAACUAAUAUGGCUGAAGUACAUGAGCAAAACUUUGUAAAAGACUGAAUUCAAGUUGCUGCUUCACAUCCUAUUCUGCUGUUUCACAGGAGGUGUGUAUAUAUGCUUUUCCCUAAAAUAUACAAUGAUGUAGGAGAAAAGAUAGUCAGUGCUCACAAUGGACCAGAUUCAUCAGUGCAACAAGGAUGCUGUGAAUGCAGAAGUUUAGGAUAACACAAUUUAUGACUGAACUGAAGAGUAACAGGAAAAAUUUACAGGAAGAAGGCAGGGGGCAGGCAAGAGUGCGUGUAGCAGAGCUGCUGGCUUGCAGCAAUCCUUAUUCAAUAUUGCAGCAGUUAACUCCUGCCUUUUAAAAAAGGAACUGUUUAAUUCCACUUUCCUAGAUGUGUCCAGGAGCCAACUCUGAGCUCUGACUAUUGCCACAUUCUGUCCUUGCGUGCGAGAUUAUAUUUCCCGAUAAGCAUGAAUAGAGUUCAAAUGAAUCUAUCAAUAAUCAGUGGAAAGGAUGUCAUAAUGCAAAGUCUGAUACUGUACAAAAAUAUACAAGUCCUUGAAAACAUUUAUUUGGAAAGGAACUGCUUUAUUCUUAACAUAGCUGCAGGUCUGGCAGCAACAGCUCAUGAAGAGGUGUGGGAAUUAGCUGAACAGACUCCCUGCUGGCAAGGAGAGCUAGGAGGCUGUAUGGUACUGAUAGGAGACUCCUCAUUUUUAAGUCCCAAUGGGUAAAGGAAGGUAAAUGAUUUUUCUUUGCUGAUGAAACACAUUGUGAGGCAAAGCCACAAUCGAGAAGGAAAAAAUAAGUGUUGAAUGGAAAUAAAAUCUCUAAACUCAAGUGAAAUAAGGUAUGUAAGAUUCUGGUUUCUUUUAAGUUGUCAUAAUCUCUUAGUUCAUCACAAUGAAUUCAGCUAAAAGAUGUAUGAGGAAGGUGGGGAAAGGAAGAGAUGGCUGAAAAUGAAACACACAUUUUUAAUUGCUCUAUUCCUAAUUCUUUGAUGUGGAUCUGCUUGUAAUUAAGCUAAACUAUUUUCAAUUGAAUUUUUCUUUGAAGUAUUUGCAGCAAUGCAGAGUAUGUGUGGUACUGUGCUGAGCCUAAGGAAAGGGCAAACAGAAAUUCUCCCUUGUCCUGUGAAUGCCACAGUCUCUCUAAGGACUCCCAUGACUACUAAGCGGGCACUUUUCCCAAAAUCUUCAUUUUGACAGCAUCAUUUAUAGGGAACUUAAACAGCACUCUGUAAUGAUGCCCUCUGGUGACUCCAAGAAUUUUUACACUAUAAUGAAAUAAAAAACAAGAUGGAAUUUGGGCUGCUAAGUGCAAGCUGGACUAUUCAUUAAAGAUUAAUGAGCAAAUCAGAGCUCCUAGAGCCCAAUCGGGUACUAUAUAUAAGCCAUACACAUACAGAGGUUCAGGACUGCCUCCAAGUGUAGGAGCAGAGCUGUAAUGUGUAAGACAGUCUCUCACCAACCAUGCAAGUGAUCUCUUGUACAUUAAUGAUAAAAAACCUGCCUUUUGGCACUGCAAAUUGAUAAUUUCUACUGCUUAGAGAAAAGAUGAAAUAAAAAGACUUCUUGAACUUUUCUUGAGGCAGAGAAUGUGGAGAAUAUUAAUUGAUUGUAUGAAAUCCUAGAAAUUAACCAGCUGUGCAAAGGAAUGUCUCUUGUUUAUUCUGCACUUACUGUGGCUGCCACGUAGUCUCUGGAAAGCUGAUUUCUUCCAUGCACUGUUUCCUCUCUGGAUAUUGCUUUUUAUAUGCACAAUCUGUCUGCAGCAUCUAAUACCUCUACAUUUACAGCCCAUCAUUUCCCCACCAUGCAGGCACACAUGACUAGCGUUGUACUGACUCUGGAGCCCGUGGUUCUUCCUCUGUUCUGGUUGAAAAGGACUCUUUAUUUGCAGGGUUGUGUUAUUUUACAGCUGGAUCUGCGGUUGUAUAGUGUCUGCAGACUAGUGGAGAUGGAAGGAAACAAGUAAUUGUGGCAGGGAAUGGAUGGAGUAGGUGUGGGCAGCCCCUUCAGUGUUGCUUCUGUUUUAAAUCAUGACUGUGAACCUUUGUCCUGAUCCAUAUGGAUGCAACACUGGCAAAGUAAUGAGAUUAACAGAACGCCAUUCACAAGCAGAUACAAGCAAGGUAAUGAAUAGGGGAUAAAUAAAAAAAAACCCAAAACAAACAAACCCAAACAAAACAAAAAAGCAAAAACAAACUACAACAAAAAACCAAAACAGAAAAAACCCCAAAACAAAAAAAAAAACCCAACCCAAAACAAAACGUAAAAAACCCCAAAACUGUGUUAAUAAGUUUGUAUGAGGUAUGAAGUAUUAACUGAUUACUUCACCUUUUUUAACUGAAUUCAAAUUAGGCUUAUACUCCCAAUAACUGUAUCUGUAACUCCUCUGCUUUUAAGCCCUCUUCCCCCAUGUCGUGCUUGGGAGAGGAUGCAUCUCUUCCCAUUCAUGUCUUUUGCACAACAGCCCCUUAGGCAUAGUGUAGAUCAGCUGGGUUUUAUGCAUAUUUUCUCUAAGAAAAACUAAAGGAGUAAACAAAAUAUUUGUUCUGACAAGAUGCCUACUUUGAUCAUAAAUGUUAAAAUCAGGAGGUGCAAGUAUGGGAAGUUCUUACUUCCCAAACAGUAUAAUCUGUAGAAUCUUCUUCAUUAACUUCUUCAUUAGGCCUGUAAUUUCCCUUUCAACUGCAGUUUGUAUUUUAGAAAAAUACCUUAUCUUGAUUUUACAGGCCAUUUAGUAUUUGUAGAGGACUGUGUGCUAUCAUUUUUAGGUCUGAUAAUGCAUCAGGGAAGAGCAGUUUUUCUGUACUAGCAUUUGCAGUGUUUCAGUGUACGUGUCUUGCAGUCACACAGUGCUUUCUCCUGCCUGAACAGUUACCCACGUUCUUUGAGGAGGAGAAUAUACCCUUUGAUAAUUGAUACAUCUUUAGUGCAAUAUCCAUGAAUGUAGCACACCAAAAUUAGUACUUUUCUUAGUGGCCAUGCCCAGCCUUUCAUUUCUAGCUAAGUGAUGUUUCAAAGAGCCCCUGCUUCCUUCAUGAUCAAAAUUAGAGUUGCUUACUCUGUCUGCUGGCCUGCUGAUUCUUUCACACAGGCUCAUGUAGCUCAACCAGUUGUCUUCAAGCUCCUCUUUCUUAUUGCAAAUUUAUGAUCACCAUGGUGUACUUGAGCAGUGAUUUUUGCUGUGCCCAACCAUCUUCCUCCGUAAAGGAACUUCAUUGCUCUUCAAAUUAGCCUCAGUGAAGCUGUCAGGCUCACUGCUCUGUCUUCAUCAGCUGGGAACUGAUCAAAGGUGAAAGAGCUGCUCCUACAGAUCAUCAUCCUGGGCAGGAGCAGCAGCAACUUACUCCAGGACAGGACAUGAAACUUGUCAUUUAGCUGAAGUUGCUGUGCAAAUGAGGUCACCAUAUUCCACUUCUCUCUGUGCUUUGUUAUGGUAGGUUUAGGAGUUUUGAACAGAGAGGUAUUGGCUACAAGAGGAGGGUUGUAGAAAUACGGAGAACCAUGAAGAGCUAUAGAGAAGUCUCACACCUGAGGUACGUGGAGAAUUAUCCUUCGAUGUCAUCGAUGAGAGGGAGUCUCCAGUCAGACAACUCCUCCACUGACGUGUUGAGGCAAGUGACUCAGCUCUGCAGUGAAGAAGAAUGUCCCUAGUGCAGCUUUCCCAGAAACACCUUCACCUGGAGGUUUCUUGCACAGGAAUUAAUUUGCUUGUGAAAACUCAUCAGUCCACAGAGCCUGGGGUGACAGAGUUGUGGGCAGAUUGCUCUCAUGGGGAUGAGGAUGCACAGUUGUAAGCAAGCCUAAUUAAGGCCUCUGACGAACUUUCCAGCGUAACUGCACCAGUAAUUGUCAGGAUCUAUGAAGUAAAUAAAGGUUAGUUUUUCUCUCUAGUUGCUAGCUAGUCCUGAGAGUUGCAGAAGUUUAUAAUCAUCCUAUCUUAUCAGGAAUGAAAUGCAUUGAGGCCUAUUAAAGCAGGCAGCAGUUGCUAUUCACUUGUGCUUUGUUAACAAAUAAAAGCUUUCAGAAAUAACACAAGAUGAGUCUGGCAGCUGUCAACUGACCUGUAAUUUUAAGAUUGGGGAAAUGAUUAGAAAAAGGAAGCAGAGCAUAGCAGAACUCACAGCCUGGUAAUUCCCAUGGGCUUAUCUGGAGCUUGAGCUGCUAUCAUGAGUGAGACCCUGAGUAUCUGAGUCUCCUGAACUUUACAGUUUUGCACUGCAAGUGACCCUUCUGGGAAAAAGAAGAGACAUAAAUGUUUCUGACAGAAUAGUUUUGUGAGCAGCUUUUUCCCUUCUAAGACAUCAGCCUUAUAAAUAGCUCUGAUACCAAGGUCUACUUACUCUAUAGACAUUAUAUCCUAGUCUUUUUUUUAAUUAAAAGUGAUUUGCUUUUGAAGGUGAUCAUUGCAGGGAGUAGCUCAGUUAUGAAGAUACUUGGGCCAAAUCUUCUGAAACUCCUGUAAACAAGCUAUGCUUGAUUCUGGCAGCACAAACCAGUUUCAAACCUGGUUUGAAAUGGCUAGCAUUCAUGGAAGUACACUGCCUAUGGCAAUGGACAGGAAAAAAAAAGUGCCAUCUAAACAGGUACCUGCUAUCAAGAAGCCCAGUUGGCAAGCAUUAUAUAGGAGAAGCAGUCUGGAGUCAGCACCUGAAAGCUGACUUUUCAUGUGGGACAGGAAAUUAUUGAAUAUCUGGAGUAUCUGGUUUAUUUGCUGUCAGCUUUUCAAUCUCCUAAACAAGAUAACUGCAGUGACACAUGGAGUUUGUGAGUGCCUGUGCUGGCAUUGUGAACACUCCUCUGCAUAGAAGAGGUGGUGAAGCAGAACAAUUAAAGCAUCCCACUGUGCAGCCAGAUGUGCAAGUUUAUGUCUUCAUUUGCUAGCCCCUCACCCAUGAAGGUGAAAGAGGUCUUUUGGGAACAGUUAAGUCCGAGGAAGCCAGGUGGUAUAUAUUAACCUCUUUCCUCCAGGACAGGGUUAACUGCAGAAAUGGAAGUGUCCUGUCCUUGUUCACCUGCUAGAUUACUCCAAUCUAGCAAACAUUUCAACUUUUCAGCCUGGAAUCAUUCAGUCUCUUAACUUGGUAUAAAAAUCUGUGUCUGUUGCCAUGUGCCCUUAGGAUGCUUCUUGACUUCCCAGGAUCAUCUGUCUUACAGUAAUACUUUCAACAUGUGCUUCAGAGUGAGGCACAAAUCCAAAGGGAUUCACUGGCUGUGUGACUGCAAAGGCACAUUCUUCUUUCCUGGCUCUGACAUAUAUACCUUGGGGAAUAUUUGAUUGAUGCAUAUGGUAAGAUAUCAGCAUGCAUUGAUUAAGUGUAUUCAGAAAAGGGUGUUCAAUUGCUAUUGCACAAGAAAAAAAUCAGCUUGUCCUUUUGAAACACCCUGGCAUGGUUGGAUUCAAGAAUUAUUUAUUAGGGAGACUUUAAAGUAGGAUGAAAGUAAGAAAUCCUACGAGAAAAAUUUCUGGUUGUUUCUUACAUUUUCUCCACCCCUCUCUCACCCUGAACUCUUCAAUAUGUUUAGAAGGAAAAUCCUUUCCAAACCCUUUCAAUCUAAAAUAUCAUCAGAUGGACCAAAAGGAAAUCUGAACUUGCCCCAGAAGCAUUCCUACAUUGAAAUAUUAAAUACUCCAGCCCCAGAGCUUGGGAUACAGGGAAACUACAAUUAGCAAGAUGUCCAUGCUGUUUGUGGAGGGGGAUCACAGAGUGUCUCACUCCUUGAAUGCUUCAGGGGACAGUUUGGCAGAGCAGAAGUUAGCCUUCAGUUUGAUGAUGUGGUAACUCUGGUGGCAAUACCAGCCCACAGACCUCUCUCUUGUUCUCUGUCCCUCCUUGCUGGUUUCCAUGCCAUUGGGCACAAUACUUGUGGCUGGAUUAAAGCAGGUUCCACAAACAGCACUGAAGAUCAGAACACUCACAGGACAGGCUGGUGGUGUCCUUUAAAGCCCAGCACUGAUCAGAUUUACAGCAGGACUCCACGAGCAGUGGCAUGCAGGUGAUGGCCUCUCCCAUCACUGGGGUGGUAAGGGUGCACUUGUGCACUGUGCUGCAUAAGGUCCAUGCUUUAAGCCUGUAGUUAUGUUCUAGAAGGCUCUGCUCCAGCUUCAACUCCAUCAAAUCAUGCUCCUGGGAAAAAAAAAAAAAACAUCAUAAAAUGUAGUAUCACUGUGCUUCAGAGCAGCUGAGGAUGUACAGGGAAGGUUUGGAUGCAGGUAAUAAUUUGCUGUUUAAGCUCCACCAAAACUGCUCAGUACUGUGACCUCUUUUAUUGAACAGCACUUACAAAACACUGCAUUCAGUAACAGGAUUUGAGGAGAGUUUAAAUUCAACAAAGAUGGAAAUACUAAAUCUACUAAACAACUAUAACUUCUCCUUGUCAUACUGGACGGGAAGGGAGAUAAAACACAUUUCACGCACUGCAAGAUUAGGUGAGAUAGAACUACCUCAAGUUUUGUAACACAGAUUUGUAUUUCUAACUGCUUGCUAAAAAGGAAAAAGGAAAAAAGGCUCUUUCUCUUACUCUAGUCAACUAUGAGUACAAGCAAUUAUGUAAGAACUUAUUUUUCUAUGACAUUUAUUGUUACAAAGAAAAUAAACUGCAUGCCAACAUUUAUUAUAAUUUCAUUAGUAUCCAAGUAGAUCUAAUUUAUGUGGAGGUUCUGUUUCCAAGAUGAGGAUCAAAUGAAUCUCAUCUGACAGACAAUUUAGUUAUAAAGGCUUCACAUGAGAACUGUUCUCCAACAGAAUGUAAACAAGACAUACUGAUUAAUAAGGUCAGACGUACAGUAGGGAGCUUAAUUAUGGCAGGACUCAUCAACCAGUAACACAUUCUAGACCUUCUCAAAUGGUACAAGUUAGCAUGCAGUAAAGCAAAAGUUUUAAAUUAACCCUAGUAUUUUACCCUCUGGGCAGUAGAACUAGAAGUUAGAGGAAGUAAGUUUAUAAACCGUAGAAGUAAUAUGAUUCCAUGUGACAAGUUUUAAAGACUUAAAUUUCUCCCAAAGACUCACAGAUUUUUACAGUGUUUAAUAUCACUCUAAUUAUUAAAUCUUGCAUGAAAACACCAAGGAAACAAACUGUAGCAUAAAUGUAACAUCUGAGACUUAAGAUUUAUGUUCUGGGAACUGACUGAAACCACACAAGCAGAAGAUUCAUGUAGCAAAAUGUUGCAAGGGCAUCCCUGCUAAAUGCCUUGUGGAAAGUGCUAAGCAAACUGGAAUAGUUCCAAAAUAUGUAGGUGUUACUGCUCUUCACAAUGCUGGGAUUUACUCCAUUAUUGCCCAAGUGACUCAGCUGAAAUUACCCACAAUCUUUUAGACAUACUUUACUUCAAUAAAAUUUGCCCUGGCCUUUCCUCUCUGUGGCUACAUGGCCUUAAUUCACCUAAAUUUCUGAAAUGGUGGUGCCAAGUGGUCUUGAUGACACCGCUGCACUUUUCAUAGCCCAAUGUUAUGUAGACUCAUCUGCAUUUUCAGGACAGUGUGUCAUUGCCUUCUAUCAACAUUUUCUUUGUUACUCUACUGACAAGAGAAAGAUAGUGCCUUCCCUGCUUUUGGACUGAGCUCUUUCUCUUCUGUGACUUUGCCAGUUGCUAAAUGACCUUGAAACUGAUUCCCAGACGCAGAAAAGUAGUUAUUUGAAGCCAUGAUGCUUAAUUAAACAGUCAGUCCAUGAAUCCUGUUUGUUCUUACUGCAGCAGAGCAAACAGGCCUUUUGUCAUUCAAAGAUGGAUUGGGCUAGAUCAGCUUUGUGCAGAUAAAAACACAAGGUUUCCACUUCUGUGUCUCACAUCUGUAUCUAGCAGGAUGAUAUCCCCUGAUGCUGUAGUGCACUACUCUUACAGAAAACAGGCUGUUCUUCCUGCCUUUUUAUCUAGAAUACUGUUCAACUUAAAUAUUGGAUGUGGAUUUGGUCAGUCAAUUCACAGCAGUUCAUGUAAUCUCAAAUGGAGAUUGAAAUCCAACCCAAUGCAUGAAUUGCAGUAUUUUGUUUUUAGGGCAGCCAGUGCCAGCUGCUUCAGCAGAAGGUUUAAGAGGCUCCUUAGAGGACAAGUAUAAAAUAUUCUUGAAUUCUACCUCUGAGCAUUUGAGGGACGGGGGCUCUGAAGCAGUGUGGUUUAUACAUCUACCAGCUUUUCAGUCCUGUCAAAAAAAUGUCUAACAUCCUCAUCACCCUCUUGACUGUCCAGUGAUGCUUUGGAACCUAACUCUCCACAAUACCUAUUGACAGGGAUUUUGUAGCUUGGCUUAAGGUGUCACCUUCCUCUGCUCUUAAAAAUCUACCAUUUGUAAUUGGCUUGCUUUCAAUUUCAUGUGUUUCUCUUAUUCACCUGUCAUACCAAGAUACAUACUGGAGCGCCUAAGCACUUUUCAUCUUCUGGUUCUAGUAUUUCACUCAGUAAAUUAGAUGCCAAUACUGUAAAUGUUCCCCUCCACCUCUCCUGGCUCCACAGGGAAGGAAGCCUAGGCAUGUUGGCCACCAAGAGAUGCUUUGGCCAGGUAUCAUGCAGGUCAGAGCAUCCAGUUCCCCAGAGUCUAGGUGCAGCUCUGGUGCUCUUUCUCUAUAUUCUGUUUGGGUAAAGUUAUCUGUAUAAUAUUUUACUUUCACAUAAAAUUUCCUAUAUUUAUCUCUUUUUUAAUCAAUAAUUAAUUCUCAUAUAAAUACCUUACUAUGCUCUUUAAGAUGAAGCAAAACAUACCACUGUUCUUUAUUAAGUCUUCUUAAGUACAUUGGGGGUCCCAAAGCCAAAACAGCUGCUCUUUUAUUUUGGAUGAGAGCCACAGACCCUAAAAACUGUGUAAGCACCCAAUUCCUUAAAAAAAUUAGUCACAAAAAAUAGAUCCUAAAAAUUCUGUAAGUACCUAAUUCCUUUAAAAAAUUUAGUCACAAAAAUAGAUUCUAAAGUACUUGUCCAUUUCUAGAAAUGCAAGCCAAACAAAGUGUGCUGAAACUUGCUUCUUUGGUUGUGAAUUUGCAAGACAAAACAAGAUAAGCUCUGUGUCUCACAAGGGUUCCUGUUACCAGCCAGGAGAAGGAAGAGGCCCUUCCUGGAGCAAGCAGCCAGGAAGAGACAGGACCUAGCAGCUAACAGGGAAAGAAACCUAUAAACUGAACUCUACUAGUGCUAGAUACUGAAUGGCACAAAAGAACUAUUGGACCCCAGGCUAACACUUUUCAAACCACUCUACUGACAACAUAUCAUAACCAGACCAGAACACAACUACAAAUAGGAGUAGGAAAUCUACGGACAUCAUGCCAAGAGAGUGAGUCAGUGUUAGUCAUUUGGUGCUUUUCUUAAUAAUUGGGGGUUUUGCUCAAAUACUACUGAAAAUCAUUUCUCUCCUCCCUUUGUAGUACCAGAGGGUAUUUGAUGUAUAUACAUGUGUAUAUUUUUUUUUCUCAGAUUUCAUGCCAUCACUUUGCCUGCCCAAAACAUUUACCAAACUUCUUACCAUCCUUAUUAAAAUUUAAACUUGUUUAUUAAAAUGAAUUCCCUCAAGCUUUCUAGCAAAGUGUCUCAGCCCUUUGCAAAGCACAAUUAGCACAGGGGACAGAAAGCUCUGUAGAGAAAAGGGAGAACUUGUGCUGUUUUGGUGACAUUAAUUCCCUUCAUCUUUAUACCCAUGUAAUCACUAGUGUACAGAAAGCAUGUUUAAUACUGAUCUAGCAGCAUCUUCCUAGUAUUAAAGUAUGCUGUACACAAAACAGUGAAGACAGCCCUUCUUAUAUUCUUUGACUAUUUUUUUUUAUUUUCAGGUUUUUAAAGCACUUCUUCUGAGAUUUAUAAUAACUGAUUAAAUAUCAAUAUAUUUAAUAAUGCAACCCAUAGUUACCCUUAAGUAUUUUAGUUUCUCAGCAUUCAGUGCUUUGAAACUCUGUACUACCAUUUGAAACAAACUAGGAAUAGCUCAUUUAAAGGAUUUUGCUAGAAGAUCCACUGAUCAACACUUGUAACUUACUUGAAAUGAUUUCUCAUGCCUCAAUUAAAAGCAGCCUUUACUAAUGGGUAACAGCUUUCUGUGGCAUUGAUACUCCCUCUUCUGCAAGCAAAGUCACACAUGCAGGGAGCUGCCUACGGGAUGGAGCAGAGCCCAGGGGAACACAGGGCACCACAGGCUAUUCUCACAUAUAUUGUGGCAGGUCUGCACUCCAAGGGACUGGUUUCUGGAGAACCCAAAAAGGUGUAAGUCUAUAACAUGCUUUACAGGUCAGCUGCAAGCUUCCUCCGUCCCAAAUGUGGAGAGCACCAGGUGGGCUGUUUUAUAUGUAAAGCAGUAUCUUAUGGGGAAGGCAAGUUUGGUCAUACUGAUUGAUUAAAUUGGAUUUUUUAAGGUUGACCUGAGAAAUCCACAAAGAACAUACAUCCAUAGAAAUGCCUUCUCUUCAUUAAGAAUGGUCAGUUAAGAGGGUCACUGAAAUCAGAAUCAAACAUCAUCUCUGUAGGUGUCACGGUCCAGUAGGGAGGUAAAUUUGGUUGAGAAAAAUGUCUUGUGUCAAACUAAGUACCAUCAGGGAGCUUUUUGUGUGGCAUGGAGCUAAACCAUCUAAAUCAGUACAGUGGUUCCUAGCCUGCUUUUGGCCUGAGGCAAAGAUGGUCACCCAGAUGAGGAUGAGCUAAGGUUUGGGAAUUAGCAUAUGCCAGGUGCCCUUUCCAGUGGGUAGCCUGGGUGAAGCCAUGCUGCUUUAGAGGCUGAGACUUCAAUAAUAAGGGUGUGGGCCAUUCUCUGCCAGGGAAUGGUUUCAGACAGGUUUAAAUUGCUUUAAUAAGUUAAUUUAUAUACAUGGAAUUGUGGAGUGUGGGUGAAACCUUAGAGGGACAGGCAUUGCAGCUGCUUUGGCUUUUCUCCUGCCCCAGGGGAUUCAGAUCUCCUUGUUGUGCAUGGAUUUUCUGCUGCUGCACAGGAGGAGAGUGUCUCCUGUUCCAAAUUUUGAGUAGUUUGGUAGCAAACAGAGGUGUGAGGAAGCAGAAUGGUCAUUGCAGGAGUGUUAUCAGUACCCAAAUACAUUAGUAUUACCCUGUACUGUUGGUUUCUUGCCAGAGGCCCCAGCUACAGAUCAGCUUCUGGGAGGGAAGGGAGACCUUUCCAAAAGGAGUAGGACCUUAUGUGAAGACUUUCUGUCCUGUGUGUCUCUGCUGCUAGAGAGCAGCUGUGGACCAUGUGUCAAUCACUGAUGAAGGUCACUCAUGAGGCAUAUUUUAGCAUUAUUCUCUGUGAUGAUCCCAUCACUACUGACCCACUCAGGUUGGCAGGUUGGGAAAGGUUGCAGUGCCUAUGGCUGCAUAUGUGAACAUAAGCACAUGAACUGUUUGUAAGGUACAAAACCCCAUCUUCCUCCCACUGCUGUACCUUUGCAGUGGCUCUUUUGAGUCAGGACUAAGAAAUUUGCAGAGCACCAGCAUCCCUUGUGUAAACAAACAUGCUUGCAGGCAGGCACUGGGGCCCUAUCAGAAAACAAGAUAGUUGGAAUGAUAAAGUACCAGUAUAGUCUUGAACAAGAUGGGUUUGCUAAGAAUGUGCAGCUUCAUUAAGGAGUUUUUGUGGGUUAAAGCAUGUUUGAGCUGGUAAAAGUAAAUGAGGGGUAGGCCCUGAUGCCCAUGCAAACACCCAAAAUGGCUGCACUCCUAAGGCAAAAUCUUGGAGCUGACAGAGUUCCUGCAGGGUGAAACUGCUGAGCAGAAAUUGCUAAAAUGCUUUAAUUAAACCACAGAGAGGAGGAGAAGGCAGAUGUUUCUCAGGAAGGAGAGCAUCUUUUGGUGUUUCCUCAUGGAACUCAAGUGCAAUGGAUCAGAGAGAAGUCAUUGCUUCAGACGGGAGCUCUGGCCCAAAUGUCAGCCCAUGGCAUCUUCCUGCCAAGAAGAAAAAGGAUGCUUACAAGCAAACCAGAGGAUGUGUUACAAACAAACCAGAGAAAUGUGGUUGGGGGGCUGGUACUGCCCCCUUGCCGUGGCAGCCCUCACUCCUGCCAUGGCAGGAGCUAGGUGGAGGAAUGUCCCCAGCAUGUCCAGACCCUGCUCUCUUGAUUAUUUUUUACAUGCUUAAUUUCUUUGGAAGUGUUCAGUUGAUUUAAAGCGCACAUCAAGGUGGCACGAAGAACAAACAAGCUCUCCACAGAAAUCCUGUGAAUUGUUGCUCUGCCAUUCACUGUUGCAGGCAAAAGAGGCACCAGGAGAUGCAAGAAGGAAAUCUUCAAAGUUAAUUAUUUACUGGUUUAUAGACUUUCAGCUACUUCAACCUGGCAGGUUUGAUAAGGAAGCCUGGAGUUUCAGCAGAAGCAAUUAGCGUGACUUCUAAGAGAUAUUAGUGAGUAAUUGUGCCAUUGUUUAUUUCCUGUAAAGCGAGACUACUAGAAAGGGUUUGUUUGCUGUUUGUAGAUUAUUUGUGUCAGGGUGGAUGGAUUCAUCAGGAGAAUGGCAAGUAGGAGCAAGAACAUUGCAAAGACUUUCUCCAUGACAGAACAAGGACAUGCACUUCUCCCCAUCUUGUUCACUAAUACAUCUCUUGCUUUUUUCCUUUGGUGUUAAUAAUGGUGAUGAUCCUCAGAGCCAGGUUUGUACUGGUAUUAGCCCUGAGAAGACACCAGGAGGGGAACAAGAGUGCCCUGAAUAAAUGGAUGCUGGCAAAGGGACAAAUCACAGGGCAGAUUUGUGCAUCAGUCCUAGAAGACGAUCAAAAAGAUGGAGGUAUCCUUGAUAAUCAAUAUUGAAAAAAACAGUGGAAGAAGUAGCAAAGCUUGUAUUUCCCUCCUUUUGCAAGUAGGUUUCCUUUUCCAGUUUAUAUCGCUUCCUGCCAGACAUGAAAUUGAACCCCUUUGUAUGCAGCUAUAAUCCAGUUCACCUCAAAUCAAUUCCUGUCAGCUCUGAAAAUGAAACAUGAGAACUACUAAAAAUAAGCCACAGCAGGGCAUGAAAUAAAUAAUCUACUGCUUUGUCCAGGGAGAAAUACUUUGUGACUUGGUCAUCAGCAAGUAAUUAUCCUUGCAGGAACUGGCUAAGAGGUUAACAUAUCUAAAGUGCAUAGCUGACCUUGCUGUGGGAAAGAUAGUAGCCUGGGGUACUUUUGAGGCCCUUUUCAGGUAUGAUUUUAAGAAUAAUGCUAUAGAACUUAUUUAGAAAGCCUCUCUUUUCAGCAGGGAGUGAUUUAUAAUUAGACUUUUUUUUUCUGGAAAUCCUGAGCAUUUGGGCACUUCAGAAUUUCUCAAGGCCAGUAUUAAAUUGUUACAACUUUUGGAAGCUCUGUGGAAGAUUAAGACCAAUGAACUGAGGAUGAAUGGGAAAUGUACUUUCUAAAAUGCUUUAGUCCAAACAAAUACCUAAAAUCUAUGUGUACCAGUACAGCCAGAAAACGAAGUAGAAAGGAAAAUUUUGCACACAAAGUACUGUUCAGCUUCAUGUUAGGAAAAACUGAUGUUGGGAAUCAGCAAAGCCAUCUGAAACAAACAGGUUAUCCCUCGGCAAGAGUACCUAAAGUUCUUUGUAAUGAAAAAAGACACAAUAACUCUUAGGAAAUCAUGUAAGUUAAUAUGAAGGAAAUCAUGUAAGUUAAUAUGAACCACCAAAGACAUCCCAAGGAUGGGAUGCAAGGCAAAAAUAAAAAAUAGGGCCUCUCAAGGCACUUUUGAAGUGAUGCUAAUCUGCAUCAGUGAAACCAAGAUUCCCACAAGCAGCACUGACCUUACAGUUAAUUUCUUUCAACACUUGUACUUAGGACUUUUAAUUCCAAGGUUUCUUGAAGGCUGAGUGGACUGAAUGGCAAAAAAGAAGUCUUGCCCACACUCCCUCCCUGUGUGCUCAACCUCAGCUGGGCUAAUUCUUUGCAGCUGCCCAGGCAGAGGGCCAGACCCUUCAGGUAGUGUAUUAUGGACAGAACAAGAGAAGGAGUUCUGGCAUCCUCACAAACAGUGCACCCUUGGGCAGGGGAAAGCCCAGAAAAUACCAAAGGGCCUGGUAUUGCUGUGCCACAUGGGCUUUGUAACAGCCAAGAUAAAGAGCAUCCAGCAAAGCAGUAUAAUGUAGCAGUGGGAUUGCAAAGGCUAGCCCAUGGAGAAGGGGAAGGGAUGUAGGUUAACGCAGCUCUCAUCAAUCAGGACACAUGGUUUUACAUAUCUUCAUAGGGACCUUUGAUGCAUGUGCACAAUAAAAUGAAUGUGGAUGUUAAAAACCUCUUCUGCACUAUAGUCCUGUAAUUCUGUUAUCCCUCCAUCCUCCCUCCCUCAUGCUGACUAAACCUCUAAUCCACUGUGUUUUGAGUUCUCUCUGUAAAUUUUUUUUCUGUUUAAAAAUGGUUGGUACCUUCCUGAUUUAAUUGCUUUACUAUUAUAUUUCUCUUCAAAUAAAUGCUUUCUGUUGUCGUCCAUCUUUGGCACAGCACCUUCCCUUCCCCUAACAGAAGCUGUCUCAUGGAAUCAAAGAAUGGUUUGGGUUGGAAGGGAUCUUAAAAGGCAUCUAUUUCCAACCCCCUUGCUGUGGAUAGGGACACCUUCCACUAGACCAGGUUGCUUAGAGAUCCAUCCAACCUUGAACACUUCCAGAGAUGGAGUAUCCACAACUUCUCUGGGCAACCUGUGCCAGUGUUUCACCACCCUGCUUGUAAAAAAUUUCUUCCUUAUAUCUAGCUUAAAUCUACCCUCUUUUAGUUUAAAACCAUCACCCCUUGUCCUAUCACUGAAGGCAACAGGAACACAUAUGUGAAGUGUAGAGAAUUUAGAAAUGAUUAAACAAAAACUCAUUAUCACAUUUGCCACAGAACUACUGCUUUGCUGCUGUUUACUGGGAUUCAGCUGGGAUAAUCUCUCUCUCAGUCUUUUACUUAGCUUUAAUGGCAACAGUAGGUGGGACUAGAUGACCUUUAGCAGUCCCUUCCAACCCAAACCAUUGUGCGUUUCCAAUUCAGAGGGGGAUGCUGGUCAGCGCUGGCCCGCACCCAAGGCCAGCCCAGGGCAGGCAGGCUCGCUGCGAGGAUGGCUGGGGUUGUGUGGCAGGAAGGAGCUGUUGUUUCCUGCUCGCUUUGCUGGCUGUUGCUCUGCUUAAAAUGGGAGGCCACAAACAGACAGAUUGGGAAAGCAAAGUCCGGUUGCAAAGUUUCAAGUGUUCUUGCUUAUGAAGGAGUAACAUUGCCCUUGUGAAGCAAGUGACUUGGAGAUUUAUAUUAGCACCAUCGGGACUGCCUGUCACCAGCCAAGGUCUAAGUGUUAUUUCUUAAAUGAAAUCAAAAGGCUGUCCUCCUGCAGGGAGGGUUGGCAGUCCCUGCGGUCUACCUCGGCAGGCCUGAAUCUGCCCAUCGGCUGGGCUGGGCUGUGCUGGGUUUGGAGAGUGGGCGACUGGAGAAGUGAGUGGCAGCAGCGUAGUGACCUCAGGCUGGGACAACUGGGGUGGGAAUGAAAGCCUCCAGCUGGCACCGCUCUCCGCAGAGUGCCGUCCUGUCUGCCACGUUUUUGGUUGGUGCCCGAUGAAGACGUGAGCCCUCCUCAGCUGUUCGCUGCAGCUGCGAUGCCAGGGAUGCCCUCAGAUCUGCGUUCAGGUCAGGACAGGCACUGCAGGCACUCGCUAAUCCCCUCCAGGAAAGUUCCUGCGCUUUAUUCCAAACACGCAAUUGGAACUGGUUAAUCCGAGCGGGUGGGCCGGUCUGGCGGCGCUGCCACAUGUGCUGCUCUGGAUGAAGGUCGGCUGCAGCCCCAGGGCAGUGACAAAGCAGCUGGUUCUGCCGUCCCCAGCCGGGCCUCUGCCUGCAGCCCUGAGAGCUUCUCCAAAUCCUCUGCAGUUCUGGGCCAUUUCCCGUGCAGCUUUUAGUGCUCUUUGUCCUUUCUUAGUUUAAAACAAGACUUCUGUUGCUUCUCUGGUGAGAUUAGUGAAGGCUAGAAGGAUAUUCAUCUUAAAUUUUCCCAUUGCAUCUUAUUAUAGACCCAGGUCACGAAGUAAUUUAUCGUAAAGAAGCAGAUGGUGUGAAAAUAUGACCAUUCCCAAAUUCCACAGCAUCCUAGCAGAUGACAUUUUAACCUUGACCUGUGUUUUUCUGUAGCCUGGUUUAUCUGGCUCAGGAGAAAUUUCAGGAAGUUGUGCAGAGCAAAAGGGUGCAGCUUGGUUUUCAUUGUUUUCACUGCUCCUGCUUGUAUACAGCACAGGAAAACAAGGGGAAAAUAUCCUUUUGCUGCAAGUCAAUCCCAUGUUUCUUGUGAGCCUUGAGUUCAAUCAAGCUUUGAUAAAAUGGAAACUGAGGGAAUGCAGAACACAUUGAGGGAAGCAUGGUGCUCAGUGCAGUGCAUGUGCUUUACAUUUGGCUGAAGGUUGUUUGCUUCUCCUUCCUCCUUCAAGUAAUUCCACUAGCGUCUAUACAUAAAUAACUUGACAUGGCAAACAUCAGCUCUGAAUCCACAAUUCUAUCUUUGCUCAGGAAGAUUAAUCUAAUUUUUUUUCCUUAUAAGUCUAAUGAAUCUUGAAAAUACUUCAUUUCCAGUCAAAUAAUGUUAAUUUGUUAUACUGCAUUUGCAUAACAUAUAUUGCAUCAGCUGGAAGCUAGGCUGCUUUGUGAGCUCUGGUAAAUUAAAUCAAGGAAGUCCCCUUCCUUCAGUUUAAGUUGCUUUUCCCAAGUCAUGACCCCUCUUCUUCCUCCUAACUGUUUUGUGACUCUUCCCCUCCUUCCCAGCUUCUCUGUGGAUGUUAAUGCUCUCUGAGGAGUCACUAGAUGACCCUGUAUACUCAUCCUAAUUGCCAGUUUCUAACAAUUAUGGCUUUUUAAAUGUAAGUGGCAAACGCCCUUCUGUGAGCCCCAUGACAGUCUCACCAAGUCCUGGCAGGGAGGUGCAGAGAAGAAUUAGGGGCAAUUCCUCUGUGAAUAACAGCAGGAAGAUUUGCUCAAGCCUGUCUUUCAGGGCUGUCUGGGUUUUACAUGCUGUGAUACACAGUCUCUGUACACAUACCACUGCACUCAGAAAUGCCUCAAUCAAGGCCAAAUAUUGCUUUGCUGAAAAUCUUGAUUCAAAACUUGAAAUGGAGGCUGCUUGCUAUGUACUAACAAUGGAUGACCCUCCUACUUACACAUUUUUGUUAUAUUUAUUUCAGUAGCUUCAAUUUCUGGAUGUAUGGAAGGCUUUGUUGUCAGAUUAAAAACCUCUGUAGUCAAAGUCAUCUCUCUUCCCUGUCUCAGGUAGCAUUUACUGUUGACUCAUCUGUGUCUGACUCACCUGAUGGCACAGCAGUUGCUUUCAGGACAAUCCUGAAAAUGGACAGUCAACCACAGGUAGGAAAUUUGGGACGCUGCAGGCAGAAUCACUGGUGGAGGUGGUGUUGUCCUAGGAGGAGCUGCCAUUCCCAUAGAUAGGUGAGAGAUCCUGCUGUGUCUUGGGAGCAAUGGGCACAUCCAGUGCAUCCUGCUGAGUGGUCAGACUUGUCCAGUACAGUCUCUGCAUAUUCAGUGGUCUUAGCGGUCACACAGAGAUGGACUUCACAGCAAGUGUCCUUCAUGUCUGACACAUGAAGUGUUUUGGACCACCUGUGCAAGUGCUGAGUGGGAUGUCCAAACUAUGCACAGUGUCACCAAUAGGGUCAGGAUGUACCAGACUUAACUGCACACACAGUUAUCAUGUAGGGCGCUUGAACAAAAUAUGUCAGUCCACUACAGGCUUCCCUUUCAGUCCCCAAGCUGGUGCUCCUCAAUGCAUUUUGGCACUGAUAAUCAUGUGGCCAUGGAGUGGGUUGAAGCAGCUCGCUGGUGGAGCUGACUGUGCACAUAGACAGGCGCCAGUAUUGGUACUGGAGAGGUGAUGGGAGCAGGCAGGAGCAGGCAGGGCUGUUCCCCUUGACAGCAGCUCAUGCUUAGAUUGACAUAAGCUAGCCAUGGCACCAGAUUCUCAGUGAUUCAUCUGGGAUUUUAGCAUGUUGGAUAGCCAAGGUAAAAAUGUGGCUGAGGCUCAUGCUUUGAUGAAGCUGAUGAAAACUUGAGACCAGCAGACAAAUUUCUGCUUCUGUCUGGUAAAGAGGGCAUAACUGCGACAAUUGGUAGUUCUGAUGGAGCUGGCCUGGACACAGGGUGGACUAAUCUGUGCCACAAGAAAGAACCAGGAUCACCAAACCAUGGGGCUGGACAUAUGUGAAGACAGAAAUUGCACCUGAUUUGGGUAAUGUAUCUGCUGAUCUUCUCCUAGUUAAAAUUUCUGACCAGUCCCAAGAAAAGGAUCCUACUGAUGUCUCACAGCUGUAGCAUACCAAGUACAUAGUUUUUUCUAGUAGCACAUUUGAUCCUUAACUGAGGCAGUGAAGUCCUGGGUUGUGGUGCUCAAACCCUGCUGAUUCUCUGUCUCUUUCUUUUGUGAUGAGCCCAAAACCUUUACAAAACUGCUGCAUAUCAGUGUCUUUGACUGGAUCUUCCCUUGACUUUGGGGGCUUGGAGGUAUCACUGGGCUUCUCACCUAACAACGUGGUGUGCAAAAUGUUCAUCUUGGUCUGGGCUGUCCUAGGGCUCUGGAAUACUGUGUCUUCAUAAAUAUUUCUCCUCCCUUGUCCUUCUGGAAAGUCAUUUCCCUUUACUUCCUGUUGUAUUAAACAAAUCUCUUUGCUUAAAAAGGGACUAACCAUCUGGCAUCUGGGAGAGAGAAGACAAAGGGAAGACAACACGUUGAGUGCUGGACUGUGGGUCAAAAUCUUCAUCUGUAAAAUGCUAACAUGGAAACAUGCUGAAAAAAGGAGCGAACAGGAGUGAGAACUGGGAAAACUGCUUCAGGCUGUUGUUUUCUGGCACAAUGCCCAGCAGGCACUGCACCAGGCAGCUCAGACCUGGAGCCUGUUUUCCCUGCUGUGUGCUGCCUGCGUCAUUUUCUGGCCUGGGACGACAUCUGGCUGGUGUAUUCUUUUCCACACCCCUGGAGGAGUGCUCUUUCUAGCUAGUUACUGCAGUGCUUGGCAUUAAAAUAUAGUGAAUUAGACUACAAAGUAGCAUAAGAUUGGCUUAAAAAUAAUGAGCUUCAAGUGCAGUUGAGCUUUGAGUACUUUUUGUUUGCCUUCUGGGUUAAAAAACUUUGCAAUAUGUGAUGUCCAUGAAUUCUUGCAUUUCACCAUGACUGUGAGUGCUCAGAAGUCACCUUAACAAUAGGGAAAAAAACCACCAAACAAACCAAAGCCACAAAAAACCCAACAAAAUAAAACAAACACAAUGCAUCCAUUUCUCUUUAUUGAGAAGUCCAGGAUAAAUUAUUUGGGUUUUUAGAUUAACACUAGUUAUUACAAACUCCAAAUUAAAAAAGAGGGUAAUUAGCAAUAGAAAGUAGAAGGGUGAUGGUGGGAAGACAAAAAUCACAGAAAUGGGGAAGAAGACUCAUUACCUUCAAGAGAUUGUUCAGUAAGAGGCAGGGACUGUUAUGAUGUAACACCACACAGUUGAGUCCAGAUUUUGAGUAUUUUUCCCAGUGCCUGGAAAGACUUCUCCCACUAGCAGACAAGGGUCCUAGAUGAACAGAAUUCACAGUCUGGAAACAGACACCACUGAGUGUAACACUGGUCUUCUACACCACCAAGCCAGCCUGUGUGCUUCAACAUCCACCAAGUUGUACCAGCACAAGGAACUUGGGCUUAACUUCUUUCACUUCCUUCUGGGUUUCAGCAGCACCUUUGCAUAACAACAUGUUCCGGUUUUCACUGACAACCUGUUGCAAAUCUUCCAAUCUACCCCAACAAUGCAGAACAAUUUUCAAUAAACCUGGGGUUUUUGUACAACAUGAAGCAGAAGACUGUGUGUUGGCAUAGUUGUGUAAUGUCCAGGUUGCAGGCACAGGUCUGGGUGCCACGUUAGCUCAACCUGAUUUUUUCUGGCUGGGGAAUUCUGGAGAAAACACAGCUACAAAUGUGAGGAUUACACACCAAUAAUUUCUCUGUUGGUCUAUAUACCUUUAUUACUUCUCAACACAGUAAUAAAGCUUUCUGGCUUUACCUCUUAGAGGUAGAAUGGAUAAGCUUAAAUGAAAUACAUCCCUUCCAACUAGAGCAAGAAUAUAAUUCAGUACCAAUGACAAGUUAGCACUAUUAGUACGUUGAAAUCUGGCCUCAGUGCACAUGCCUAUGAGUUAAAAACAUACUGUAAGAAGAUGGGAAUGGUACCCUUUAAGAGUGUAGCCACACACGUAGCAGCUGCUCUGAUAUUAUGUGUCAACAUCUCCCCAUUGGUAUUUACUUAAUUAUUGAUGCAUUUGUGGGAAUAAUGAAGUAUUGGAGCAACCUGCCCAGAAGCACCAUGUGCUUUUCACUGCUGAUGUUUACGGGACCUGAAUGGAUAGUGCCCUGACCCCGUGGAGCAGGAGGUUGCACUGGAGGCCACCCAAAGCCCAUCCAACAUGAGUAUUCCUGCAGUACUGUGACUCCAUUCAUCCCAGGCAUGGAUCUCAGGUUCUGGGAUUCUUCCCUGCACUUUCCAGUCUGUAAAAGUUCAGCUGAGGUUCUUCAUCCUCUGCAAUUCUUGUAAAAUGGAAAAAAAAAUCCAACAUGCUACUGAAAACCAGUAAAAUGUGGUGUGUUUGUGAGGUUUUUAUGAGUUCUGAAUACAGAUAUGUAUGUAUUUUGCUUUUCUACUUUGAAGCAGCCUAUAAGGGUAGAGAAGCAGCAGAAAAAAACCCCUAGGAAUAUAUAAUUAUAUAUAGCAUAUAUAUAAUAUAUGUUUUAUUUGGUGACAGCUCUCCCUGUGAGUACAGAAGCACAGUCUAGAAAUGACUGGGAAAUCUGAAUAUCACCUGCUGUGGUAGUUCCUCAGAGCUCAACACCAAGCAGUGACUCCUGUUCUGCAAAAGCAGCAGGCAGAGUUAUUAAGAUCAGGCACAGUUAUUAGUAAGUGUGCUCACAUACAUGCAAUGCAUGUUAUUUAACAAAUUCAUUUUGAAGGCCCGUUGUCUAAGGCCUCUGAGAAUAUUACCAGGUGCCUCAGUAUUAAAUGCAUGAAAUAUAUGUGUGUGGUGAUACUUUCUUAUUGCUUUGGGAGCUUUUCUGCCAAAAAUCCUGUCCCAACACUAGUGUUGGUUUUGGACUUCUUCCAGUUUACUUCUCUGGGCUUUGCUGUAUCCCCAGCCGUUUCCUUCCUCAGACUGUGCCUGUGUAUGAUGGCCCUGCCUCUGGUUCCUGUUCUCCAGCUCCUUUGGGAGUGGUUAGGGCCUAGGGACAUCUCUCUGGGAGGCUGCACAGCCUUACCAGGCAGGAAGAGUUUGUUGUUAUUGGUAUUCCUGCCACAGCCUGGGUCUCACUACACCCUCACAGCCUGCUUUUUCUCCUGAUCAAUGUAUAAAUGGGUUCUAGAGUCCCUGCAUUCUUCCUCUGGGAUUAGGGGCUUUAGCUGCUCCCAGCCUUCAGCCUGGUAAUCCAUAAUCAGAUUUCACCCUUUUAGCAUUUCUCAGAGCAAAUGCUACCUAGGAUGAUCUAAAUCUGAUUUUCUGUUCCUUUAGGCACCAUCAAUUUUCUAUGUUCUGUCACCUUUAAAGAUGCUUAUAGUUUCCUAUUGCAUUAUCAUAGUUCAUCAAUGCCACAUUCAGUAUCAUCUCAGAGCCAUUAUUUCAGAAGCCUCCUUAACCUCUGCUUUUUCAACUAGAGCAAUUUGGAGGAAUGCUGAUCAGUUAUGGUUGUCUCCUGGGUUUGACUUAAACUACCUAAAUUUCCCAUUCAUUCUGAUGCCUUGUACUUCUGCUGUUCUAUCCCUGCCUUCCAUGCUCCCAAACACCACUCAGAGCCUGCCUGGUUUAUGCUGGAGCUGAGAGUGGUCUGCAGACAACACCAAGCUGAGUGGUGCACUUGGCACGUCUGAGGGAUGGGAUGUCAUGGGGAGGGACAUGGACAAGCUCCAGAAGUGGGCCCAUGGCAACCUCAUGAAUUUCAACAAGGCCAAAUGCAGGGUCCUAGUGACAGGACAAGUGAUAAUGGUUUAAAACUGGUACAGAUUGCUCAGAGAUGCUGUGGAUGCUCCAUCCCUGGAAGUGUUCAAGGCCAGGGUGGAUGGGCUUUCAGCAUUCUGGUCUAAUGGAUGGUGUCCCUGCCCAUGGCAGAGGGCUGGAGCUGGGUGAUCUUUAAGGUCCCUUUGAACCCAAAAUGUUCUAUAAUUAUAUGGUUCUUUGAGAGGGUAAAUAGAAAUUAGUGUCUGUCCUAUCUGGGAAAUGCAGAAGCCUGCCCCUGGGAAAUGUUGGGAUCAAUAGGUCUGGAAAAUGCUUUUAAAAUGUUAAGCAAAGUUCUCAUCCACAUUUACAGAGAUAAAGCUUAUUCUCCUCAGUCUUAAGAAAUUCAAACGAAAACAUAGAUAUUCUCAAACUUCGUUUCAAACCUUAUGCAGUGUGAGUUAAUAUGGUGAUGGUUUAAUCUCUUGGAUUUUGCCCCGUUUCUGGGAGGCACGGGAGGUAACGCGUGCGCUGGUUUUGUUACCUUGCUCUCUAGGAAGGGAAACGCAAAGCUGCCUUUAGGUAACUCGCUCCCGGGAGCGACGCCCGCAGAGGCUGGUGCGCCAUUAGAUGGCAGCACAGAUAAGGACAACAUCCAUUGUGCCUGGUGCUGCUCCAGGAAAGCCUCUCCACUGCUUUCAGCAUCGCCGACGUACCUUGUGGGUGAAGAAUUUUCUCAUUACUUAAAGCAAAAUAAUUAAAAACCUGUAAAUGAGGAUUUUCAUAUUAUAUUAAAGCAUAUAAAAUAAAAAUUACUCCCUCCCCCCAAACAGAGAUGGCAUGUAUUAAGCUGGAAUUUCUUUCAGAAUUUCUGAAUUAUUUUAUUCCUUAUCCUUCUCAAGCAUACAUAAAUUCAGCUAUACUGACUAAAACAGCUUCUUUCUUGAUGACAUGUAUAGUAGCUUAUCACCUAAAAGCUCUUCUAGAAAGCUCCGUCACCAGCCAUCUCAGCUCAUGGCCUCAGGAGCAUAAUAUUUUACAUUACUUUCUGUUGCCAUUUGAGCAACUCAACAAAUACAGCAGGCACUUAGUAGACCCUCAGAAUAUUCCAGUGACACUUCCAACUAAUUUCAUUUCUUUAAUGGAAAAAAAAUCAAAGCAAAUGGAGAGGAGACAUAAUUUUGUUUUUCAGACUGAAUAUCUAGCUUAUUACUAAUUUUUCAUUGUGUUGGCUUAAAGUUAUAUAAAGGAGAAUCAAGGUGCUAAUUGCAUACCUGUAAGCCUGACAUUUGUGCUGACAUCCCCGAGUCUUGCCUGAUAUCUUGUGCGAAAGCCAUGCUUGAGAGUUGUCAAAGUGGUGAAGUUCCUGGUUUUUGCUGUGGCAGAGCAAAAUUCCUACCUUCCUGUACUGGGAUCUGACAGGGGUAUCCGGAGUCUGUGUAACUGGUAAUGUAGCUGAUGAUCUAGAGCACCUUCUGGUGUUACAACUGUGGGAAUGCUUUUAAAAAUAUGUGGUAAUCAUGUCAAAGAGAUUUCAUCCUAGCAUAUAGGAUUUUGACAAUCUUUAUUUCACUCUUCCCCUAAGAAAUUACGAACAAUAAUAUAUAAUUUUACUUAUUAAUAAUCCUAACAGCUAUACUAGGCUAAUAUAAAGCUACCUUGCACUUGACAAAAUCAGGAGUAAUAAUCCAUGUUGUUAUUCCAAUUUAAAAUUGGUUUGUGGAGGUUAGUGCAGCCCCAGCUCCUAGCUUUUUGGAGCAUUUUCACUUCCAGGCUGUUUUCCCGGGUGACUGAUGCUCAGCCUUGGAGGCUGGUCUCACACUGGUGAUCUCAGGAAGUACUUUGCAGCAACUUUUGGAGCUGUUUCAAAAGGAGAAGAGCUUUGUAGUGUCUCAUAGGCAAUUAGGGGUCACAUCUCCUCUUGGGAGUUGAUGAGCAUAAUGUGUCUGUUUAUACUUUUUUCCCCAGAGAUUUUCCUCUUGCAGAGGCAAUACUUCUCUCGUCACUUUGUGAAGUGGAAAAGCUGUGUAAAUGCCCCCCCCCCCCAUCUCCACCCCACCCCAUGGGGUUAUGAGACUAUCUGGAAGAAAGGAAGGAUAUAUCACUUUCCUUUUUGAAAUGAAAAAGACAUUUCAGAAGGCAGCGUAAAGUAACACUAAGCAAAAAUUUAAGAGAGACAUAUGGGUAGUAGAAAGCAUCACAUCAGUGUCUGCUCACUGCAAGCUUUGGCUUUGUGUUUCCAGCACCACGACACAAAUGUUAUUUCAUUUAAAUGGAAGAGAAUGGAUUUUUAUACUACAUAUUCUACCUUCUGCAGAAUUCCAGGCCUUCUGUGAAAGUCUCUACUCAAAUUAUUAAUGUAGGCCAUGUGUGCAUGUACUGCCAGUUACUCCAACAGCAGGCAAAGGCAUUCCAUUCUGUACAGAGCUCCUUGGGAAGGAGAAAUGUGUAAAUCUUUAGUACACGGGGAAAAAAGUGUUACUUUCUAGCACUACGUCAGAACCUAUUUCAGCAUAUGGCUGUCUUUUCAAUGUGAAAACUACUUAGGACAAACCUUGGGUGAGUUUUUUAUUUACUUUAAACUGCCUAGACCUUAUUCCAUUUCAAAUCCUCAGAGAAUCAGAUGAAACUACUAAAACUUUUAAAUGCUUGAAGGAUAUCAGACUAGCAGUGAAAACAGACAGAAAGGUACUGGACCCAGCAUUACAUUUUCCUCCCUAGAACAGGGAAAGAUGGAUAGUGUGAGGGAAGCUGAUCCGUUACUCAAAUUGAAAUGUGUCAGAACCUGGCAGUUUGGGCAUAAUUAGACCCCAGUCACAAUAAUUUCUAGACCAUCUCCAAAUGCAGAUACUGCUGCAUCAGCAGCAUGGAGGCAAAUCCAGCAUCUCUUUGACAAGGAAGUACUUACCUCUAGUUGGUGCAAACUGGAAUGAUGUGACAGCCCCUGAUGGCUGCAGUGUACCUUCACGUGCUGAAAUUAGGGGGUGAUCAACUUCUGAGCUUUACUGUGUCAUCCAAAUCACAUGUUUGGGAUUUCCAAUCUAUUUAUAAAUAACUGAAAUGCAUUGCCCAUAAAAAUGAACAGCAUGCUACAAACCUGGUAGUUCUCUAUUUAACCAUAAUUAACUUAUAAAUAAUUUACACUCUUCUUUCUCUUACUAUAAACCAAGAAUAAUUAGGAACUUUAUAUUGUUGCCCAUAUUUGGAUAUGUAGCUGGGUACCAGAGGGUGGAGAUGACUUACCAACAAGGUUCUCCUAGGAAUUUGACCCAUGCAUACAAAUCCCUGGACUCGUUAAGGGAUCCAAUUCUGCCUG